GAUGAACGCUGGCGGCGUGCCUAAUACAUGCAAGUCGAGCGGCAGCAUAGUCUUCGGACUGAUGGCGAGCGGCGGACGGCAGAGUAACGCGUAGGAACAUACCCCAAACUGAGGGAUAACUGCUCGAAAGAGUAGCUAAUACCGCAUGUGGUCUUAGGACUAAAGCUUCGGCGGUUUGGGAAUGGGCCUGCGUCUGAUUAGCUUGUUGGUGAGGUAAAAGCUCACCAAGGCGACGAUCGGUAGCUGGUCUGAGAGGAUGAUCAGCCUGACUGGAACUGAGAACGGUCCAGACUCCUACGGGAGGCAGCAUAGGGAAUUUUCCACAAUGGGCGAAAGCCUGAUGGAGCAACGCCGCGUGCAGGAUGAAUGCC
RNAcentral lists this ribosomal RNA (371 nucleotides) under uncultured bacterium. RNAcentral's name for it is "bacterial SSU rRNA". It matches the Rfam family "Bacterial small subunit ribosomal RNA", at positions 28 to 416 of the family's 1533-position model. The record is from RNAcentral.